CACUUGUCGGCGCCGCAUACCAUUAUCUAGACAAAUGCAUGCGCAAUGUGCCUCAACCCCUAUUACCGUACGGCGCCUGCCUAGUCGCAAGCGCAGCAGGUGCAGCGGCCGGCGCCAACAAACCUGCACCACUGCACCGCCUCCCAGCGCCAGCACGCGCACACAAUACCGUACUACCGAAAUGCCUACGCUUCUUGCCCCUGCGCUGGUGCCACAGCACGCAUUGAGCACAGCGCUGCAGGUCACCACGUGCAUAUCUAGCUGCUAGUACAUACAUACACGCAGCGGCGGCUCCUACGUACCUUUCCCUAAGGAUGCGCAUCUGCGCUCCCUUUGCAGCCUCCGCCUGCCUGCCCCGCACGCCGUAUACACACCGUACACACACACACACACACACGUACAUACACACAAGGAACACGACAACGCAUAUGUAAAACGAGGGUAAAGAAC
This 450-nucleotide long non-coding RNA is filed under the name Chlamydomonas reinhardtii. RNAcentral's name for it is "long non-coding RNA (CREI_LNC000832)". Lineage: Eukaryota; Viridiplantae; Chlorophyta; Chlorophyceae; Chlamydomonadales; Chlamydomonadaceae. The record is from RNAcentral.